UCUUUGUUCCCUGACCAGGGAUUGAACCCUGGGCUGCGGCAGUGAAAGCACGGAGUCUGAACCACUGGCCUGCAGGGGAAUUUCCCAGAGUAGCAUCUUCAAAGAUCUGCCUGGCAGCUGUUGCGGACCAUGGUUUAGAAAGAGGAGAGGUAGGAGGCAGGAAGUCCAGGUGGGAGGCUGAUCCUAGCAAGAGAUGCUGAGGACCUGAACCAAAGUGAUGGCAAUGAGAGGGAAGAGGAGGGGGCAGAUGUGAAAGAUCUGGAUAGGACUUGUAAGAGGAGAGAGCCUGGAGAAGGGGGCUUGAGGAUGAGUUUGGUUUUGGAUACGUUGCGUUUCCAGUACCCAUGGGGCUCCCAGGAGGAGCCGUCCCAUAGGCAGUUGGGGAUACUGGUCUUUGGCACCCAGAGAAGCGCAGGCUGCAGAUACAGAUUUGAGGGUCACCAGCCUAGAGGUGUGGCUUAAAAAUCAAGGAAAUGAAUUCAAUGUCCAGGAAGAGGGUCGAGUCAAAGAGAAUGGUAACAGAGGCCACCUGAGAGGGGCUGGUGAGCAUUUCCAUCAGCAGAGCAGCCCAAGGGCAUCUGAACACAAUGGCAGAAGCAUCCAACAUCCCACACCUGUGAGCUGCUCCCUAGGAGUCUGCCAGGGACCCAAGGGCCAUGGCAAAGCUUUGGGGUACUUUGGUGUGCAUGUUGGAGAUUAUAUUAUUUUGUUGACAAUAAUUUGUCUUAAUGCUGAAAAUAUGAGUGGUCAGAAUGCUUGUAGUGGUGAAGAAACCCUCCGCAGGUUUCUGGGGAGGGCACAAACCCAGUGAAUAUAAUCUCAUUCUCCAGCACUGCAGUACUCUGUAAAUUAUAAAGGAAUUCCAUCAACAUUAUCCUAUAAUCUUCACAGCAGUUCUCUGAAGAGUAUGGAGCCAUUUAUGGAUGAAGACACUGGGGCUCAAAGAGGACCAUCCAUCUUGCAAGCCGUGAAGGCUAAUAUUGUAGCUGUGAAAUUUGACUCCAAGCUUCCUGGAAGCAAAAAUAGACACACAGAGGUCUGUACUCUGCCCAUUCCCUGAUGAGAAAGACAGUUUUGGGUGUAUUGGUUCAAAAGAAUUGACGAAUCUGGAAUUACACGGAAGGGCCCCUGACCAUGUCUGCUUCUGCCAUGGAGGGGAAGUGAAAGCAAAACAUCAGAGAACUUGGACACAUAGGAAGUAGGAACUAAGGAAGAAUACUGCUGGGCAGGAACUGAGGGAGCACAGUGAGGCUGUUCUGGAAGAGUGUAGAAGUCAGCCCUGUGUUCACUCGUUAGUACCCAGCCCCAGUGGCGUCUUCCCCUUUCACAUGCUUCAGUUUUCCACUAUUUUUCUUCCUUCCUUUUUCUUUCUUUUUUUUCCUUAUUGAAGUAUAGUUGAUUUACAACAUUGUGUUACUUUCAGGUGUACAGCAUAGUGAUUCAGUAAUUUUUGCAGAUUCUUUUCCAUUACAGGUUAUUACAAGAUACGAGGUACAGUGCCCUGUGCUAUUCAUUGUGAUCGUGUUCUUUGGAAAGGCUGAACACUCUAGACAAACCCACCAUGCUGUAAGGAGGCCCAAGCAGCCAUGUGGAAAGGACAACACGGAGAAGAACCAAGGUCCCUGGCUGACAGCCCAAGCUGAGAUCCCAGCCAGCAGCCAGCACCAAACAUGGAAGAAGGAUCACACUGUCAGGCAGCCUUUGGAAAACCUCACUGUACACUCCUGAGAGAAUGAGAGUGAAAAAGGCAAAAAUUCCCGGGCUUCCCUGGUGGCACAGUGGUUAAGAAUCCACCUGCCAAUGCAGGGGAUGCAGGUUAAAGCCCUGGUCCAGGAAGAUCCCAUAUGCCGCAGAGCAACGAAGCCCGUGCACCACAACUACCGAGCCUCCGCUCUAGAGCCCGCAAGCCACAACUACUGAGCCCACGAGCCACAACUACUGAAGCCCACGCACCUAGAGCCCAUGCUUCACAGCAAGAGAAGGCAUCACAAUGAGAAGCCCGCGCACCACAGUGAAGAGUAGCCCCUGCCCACCGAAACUAGAGAAAGCCCGCGUGCAGCAAUGAAGACCCAACACAGCCAAAAAUAAAAAUAAAUAAAAUAAUUUUUUUUUAAUUUCUAAAAACAAAAAGAAAUUCCCCACCUCAAAACCAGGUCAUUUCACUUGCACUUUAUUGUGGUUCCUUUUGUUUUGUUGUUGUUCUUCUUCUUUUUUUCUCUGUUAUCAGUCUUCUUUAAUAUAUAGAUUUAUUCUUUCAGGUGUAUAUUUUGGAAUAGAGAGUGAAAUAUAAUCUA
This is a long non-coding RNA of Lagenorhynchus albirostris (white-beaked dolphin), 2294 nucleotides long. RefSeq lists it as uncharacterized. The transcript is spliced from 6 exons. The record is from RefSeq and is a predicted model, not a curated record. Lineage: Eukaryota; Metazoa; Chordata; Mammalia; Artiodactyla; Delphinidae.